UGGGGAAUUUUGGACAAUGGGCGCAAGCCUGAUCCAGCAAUGCCGCGUGAGUGAAGAAGGCCUUCGGGUUGUAAAGCUCUUUUGUCAGGGAAGAAACGGUGGUUCCUAAUACGGGCUGCUAAUGACGGUACCUGAAGAAUAAGCACCGGCUAACUACGUGCCAGCAGCCGCGGUAAUACGUAGGGUGCAAGCGUUAAUCGGAAUUACUGGGCGUAAAGCGUGCGCAGGCGGUUUUGUAAGUUUGUCGUGAAAGCCCCGGGCUCAACCUGGGAAUGGCGAUGAAGACUGCAAGGCUAGAAUCUGGCAGAGGGGGGUAGAAUUCCACGUGUAGCAGUGAAAUGCGUAGAGAUGUGGAGGAACACCGAUGGCGAAGGCAGCCCCCUGGGUCAAGAUUGACGCUCAUGCACGAAAGCGUGGGGAGCAAACA
Molecule: ribosomal RNA, 427 nt
Filed under: uncultured bacterium
Lineage: Bacteria
Description: bacterial SSU rRNA
Rfam family: Bacterial small subunit ribosomal RNA
Source: RNAcentral